AGAAGCCCUACAGGAGCGACCUGAGAUCACAUGCGGGCACCCUUAGGGACAUUUCCAACAGGGGUUGUGCCUUAUUGUGUAUCUGAUGUGUUCUCAGGUCGCCCCUGCUGGACUAAU
Cephalotus follicularis is the source of this 117-nucleotide microRNA precursor. It matches the Rfam family "MIR398 microRNA precursor family". NCBI's taxonomy places the organism in Eukaryota, Viridiplantae, Streptophyta, Magnoliopsida, Oxalidales, Cephalotaceae. The record is from Rfam.